Oncorhynchus mykiss (rainbow trout) is the source of this 464-nucleotide non-coding RNA. Lineage: Eukaryota; Metazoa; Chordata; Actinopteri; Salmoniformes; Salmonidae. The record is from RefSeq and is a predicted model, not a curated record.
GAACAGAGAGAGUUCAAACCCCGUAUCAUGUGACAAGGUUCACCUGAGAGCACUACAAUUAUGAAUCAACACUGAACCGAAGGGUCUAUGGAAGUAAUCUGUCAUGUUCACACGAUUAUAAUGAUCACCACCUUCAUGAUGUAUUAGGCUAAUGGAGAGGUGGUACUACUAUAAUACUACAUGAUGUAUUAGGGUCAUGGAGAGGUGGUACUACUAUAUUACUACAUGAUGUAUUAGGGUCAUGGAGAGGUGGUACUACAUGAUGUAUUAGGGUAAUGGAGAGGUGGUACUACUAUAUUACUACAUGAUGUAUUAGGGUCAUGGAGAGGUGGUACUACAUGAUGUAUUAGGCUAAUGGAGAGGUGGUACUACUAUAAUACUACAUGAUGUAUUAGGGUCAUGGAGAGGUGGUACUACUAUAAUACUACAUGAUGUAUUAGGCUAAUGGGGAGGUGGUACUACUA